Cygnus olor (mute swan) is the source of this 183-nucleotide long non-coding RNA. RefSeq lists it as uncharacterized. Lineage: Eukaryota; Metazoa; Chordata; Aves; Anseriformes; Anatidae. The record is from RefSeq and is a predicted model, not a curated record. The transcript has 4 exons.
UGGCCAGGUGUCAGAAGCUACUGCAGGUCCCAUGCAGAGUCAGCAGUUUUUCUCUAAGGAAAUCCCUUUGUUCUCUUAUCACCUAAACCCAGGCCUCAAUGUUAACCUUUCAAAUCCCUUAGUGGCACAAAUUACUGGACCAUUCCUUACAGUUCCUUUGUUUUUUUUUUUUUUAAGCAUCAA